RNAcentral lists this ribosomal RNA (494 nucleotides) under uncultured bacterium. RNAcentral's name for it is "bacterial SSU rRNA". It matches the Rfam family "Bacterial small subunit ribosomal RNA", at positions 8 to 518 of the family's 1533-position model. The record is from RNAcentral.
AGAGUUGAUUAUGGCUCAGGACGAACGCUGGCGGCGUGCCUAACACAUGCAAGUCGAGCGAGGAGAUUCCUUCGGGAUGAUCCUAGCGGCGGACGGGUGAGUAACACGUGGGCAACCUGCCUCAUAGAGAGGAAUAGCCUUCCGAAAGGGAGAUUAAUACCUCAUAACAUUGCAGUUUCGCAUGGAACAGCAAUUAAAGGAGUAAUCCGCUAUGAGAUGGGCCCGCGGCGCAUUAGCUAGUUGGUGAGGUAAUGGCUCACCAAGGCGACGAUGCGUAGCCGACCUGAGAGGGUGAUCGGCCACAUUGGGACUGAGACACGGCCCAGACUCCUACGGGAGGCAGCAGGUGGGGAAUAUUGCACAAUGGGGGAAACCCUGAUGCCAGCAACGCCGCGUGAGUGAUGACGGCCUUCGGGUUGUAAAGCUCUGUCUUCAGGGACGAUAAUGACGGUACCUGAGGAGGAAGCCACGGCUAACUACGUGCCAGCCGCCGC